Long non-coding RNA from Thunnus maccoyii (southern bluefin tuna), 807 nucleotides. RefSeq lists it as uncharacterized. The transcript is spliced from 6 exons. NCBI's taxonomy places the organism in Eukaryota, Metazoa, Chordata, Actinopteri, Scombriformes, Scombridae. The record is from RefSeq and is a predicted model, not a curated record.
CUGGCUGUCACAGGCCUGCGUUAUGGUAAAGUCUUAACAACCAAAUUCAUGUGUAUUAGCAUGCUAAUCGCAAAUAAUGCUAAUCGCUAAUUAGCCACCAUGCUAGGCGGGCUUUGGCAAGGAGGUUGUACAAGUUACUUCUGUGUCCAGAAUGUAAACUCACAUGGUCCAUGCUGUUUUAAAUUAAAUGCUGAAGGAAUAUGUCACUUUAGAUAGCAUAUUUUACUCUACUUUAGGGAGUAAUAUCUGUUUUUUAUUUAAUAUAUAGUGAGUAAUAGUUUGUACUGUGUAUUAAACCUAGAGCACAGUACUGUUUAUUACCUAACACCUAGCAAGUACGGGAAAGAAAUAUAACACUUGACUACACCUGAGUGGGUCACACACAGGUGGAUAUAGCUUCAGGAGGGGAAAACUUAAGUGUCUCCACCCGCACUGAAGAGACAACCCUAAAAGAUUUCACAUUGCAGUUUAAAGGAUUUGUGGAUUCCUGCCCUGAGCUGAAGAACAAAAUAAAAAAGACUGCAAAGAAAUGAUGAACUCCUCCCACUACAGUGGCGAUGUAGAACAUAAGAACAAAUUUCUCCCUCAGAGUUCCCUGCUGGUCCUGUUAUUGGAGGUGUUGUAGGACUGCUGCUGCUCCUGGCAGUCUGCAUCACUGGAGUCUUCAUCUGGAGAAGUAAAAAUAAUGGAUUCAGGCCUGCAAACUCUUCAGACUCAUCAUCCUCUGAUCCAUCUUCAGUCAAAGAUGCAGCUCUUAACUGAUCACAGAGUAACAACAUCUGGAGAGAACUGAUGCUGCUGUCCAGC